GAUGAACGCUGGCGGCGUGCUUAACACAUGCAAGUCGAACGAAGAUGCCGGAGUGCUUGCACUUUGGCAGACUGAGUGGCGGACGGGUGAGUAACGCGUGGGUAACCUGCCUUAUACAGGGGGAUAACAGUUGGAAACGACUGCUAAUACCGCAUAAGCGCACGGUAUCGCAUGAUACAGUGUGAAAAACUCCGGUGGUAUAAGAUGGACCCGCGUCUGAUUAGCUUGUUGGUGAGGUAACGGCCCACCAAGGCGACGAUCAGUAGCCGGCCUGAGAGGGUGAACGGCCACAUUGGGACUGAGACACGGCCCAAAACUCCUACGGGAGCAGCAGUGGGGAAUAUUGCACAAUGGCGAAAGCCUGAUGCAGCGACGCCGCGUGAGCGAAGAAGUAUUUCGGUAUGUAAAGCUCUAUCAGCAGGGAAGAUAAUGACGGUACCUGACUAAGAAGCACCGGCUAAAUACGUGCCAGCAACCGACGG
This 482-nucleotide ribosomal RNA is filed under the name uncultured bacterium. RNAcentral's name for it is "bacterial SSU rRNA". It matches the Rfam family "Bacterial small subunit ribosomal RNA", at positions 28 to 520 of the family's 1533-position model. The record is from RNAcentral.